GUUAUGUAUCAGCAGGUAAACACAAGCUCUUUUCAGGCCUGCUGAAUAAAAUGAAAGAGAAAUAAUUUGUGCUCAGCAAGGCUUGGUGAAGGGGAAUAGUCAACGUUUUGACUUACUUCCCACCUUCCUCAGAAACAUUUGGGAAAAGAAGACUUCGGAAGCAAAGCUUUCAGUCCGUUAGUUUAUUAACACCCAAUAACGAUUCAUCGCACUAAUGCAAGCAACAUAAAGAAAAUACAACAUUAAACACAGCAAAAUAUCAAAUGCUCAGCGGAUCAAAUGCCGCCACAAAUGUGUUUCAAUCAUCAUUUUCCACAUUUUUUUAAUUUUAUUUUUUUAUUAUUAAUUAUUUAUUUGUAUAACAUGUUUGCAGCACCUUUUUAAGUAUCGUAGAUCUGUGCAAAUUUCUCAUCUGUCGGUUUCUAUCUAAACAGGCUGUAAAACACACAGGACCGGAGCCCGGGCCGCACUCCCGCUCUCAUGGUAUUUGUGUGAAUUUAACAGAGUCGUCGCCUCUGUCACCAGGAAGCGUAAUCAUUUGGCAAUGCAGUUAAUACUGAUAACACCCAGCAGCCAUUUUAAAAUAAAAAAAUAAAAAUGGCUUCUCACUGCAAUAGUGUUUGCUAGAAAGUCCUAAUUUCUCAACAAUUCCUUACUUUCUGCUAUUAAAAAAAUUAAAACAAAAUAAAUUCCCCAAACCAUUAAAACAAUAACAAAUGCCCUUCUAUUCCCCAGAUAUUUUUACUAUGGCUAAUGUUGCAGCAUACGAUACGAACACGCAGGACUGCCUCUCAAAAUCUACAGUUUUGGUUUCUAUAUGUCUGUUUAGAGGGUUACCUUAAUAAAACACUGUUUUUGGUGGAAGCAAGUCUUGCCUGGUUGAAAUAAACAGUUGAAAUUACCUGCGAUCCGAUGCCGAGGCCAAGUUCUCCCUGCAGCCCACCUCCAUUGGCGCAAAUCCUUCUGACUGCAGGGGAAGGGCAUCCCGGAGGACAGGCUGAGGGGACGACUAGGGCAGCAUCGGUGGGAGGGUUGUGCCACUAUUGGUUGCCUGUGGCUAGCAAGUUGUUCUAUUGGUGGGCUGGGUAAUGACGCUAGCUCUCUCUAUAUGCAAUAACGUUUACUGAAGAAUGCACGCAUAAGCUUCCAAGAACCAUGACUACUUAACACUGGUAACUGGUGCAACUCUUUAACCGAAUGGUUUAUUUAUCAAACCUCAAACUGAGGAAACUUGACAAAGGAAUUUGUGGACAGUAUAAGUGAACGUUUUUCAAAUUAAGGCAUUUUCCCCCCAACUGAGCUAUUCUGGCAAACCCGGUUAAGUGAAUAAAAAUCUGUCUGGGUUCAGAAUAUAAAACAUAUUAACCCCCACCUAACUUAACAUGACCAGAAUGCCACAACUAAGAUCGAACCUGCUUAACAAAAAUAUAUAUUGUAAAAACCUUCAGUUCUUGAUAAACGCUACCAGAUAUGUUGAUUUAAAUCAAUUCACAGCGUUUGCUGGCACAAAGUUCCCUAUGUAGGCUGUGGGUGACUAAUUAUUAGUAUAUGCCAGUGGCGUGGUAUGUAAAUUACGUGGAGACUGAAUCUAAGACUUAACUAAAUAACAGGAUUCACUGAAUACCGAGUAUCACCAAUGGUAUCUCCUAUUCUGAGACACAAAUUGCUCAGAACUGGAACGCUACCUGAAAAUAUAAGGUCAUAUUUUAUUUUCUGUUAAUUUAUUAUAUAUAUUUAUUAUACAAAGUCCCUGUAAAAUGACUAAAUCAUUUCAUACACAUUGGUUUAAUACAAUUCAGGAACCUCUGAAAGGUAUUGGGUGCUAAUUCCAGCGUAGUGCGACAUAAAAUGUCAUUAAAUUUAAAGCACGUCUAUACUGUAAUCCAGCCAGAUAACUUUUAGAUUGUGUGUAAAAUGUAAAGAUAAAAAUAUAUCUUAAUUUACAUUUAUGCUGCAGCGCUAUAAUGAAAGGGUCCUUUCCCAUAAAAGUUCAUUAAGAACUGCUUUGCAAAUCUUGUACAAAUUUUACGGUUUUGCUUGGUGGGCCAAAAUUCAGAGUAGGGUUUGAGGAGUCAAUACCUUUUUUUAUUUUUUAUUAAUGAACCAAUUUCCUUGAUAUUACACACAAUGAAUGCUUAACGUAUGGAGAUUUGUUUGACGAGGUACGGAAGAUGACAUAUUUUAAAUGAGCUCCAUUUGCCGCCUCGCGUGUCAGGCUCUUUGGAUUGCAUCGUUCAUAACAUUAGUUAAUGUUUGAGGCUCUAGUGAUCGUAUUUCUGCACCAAUCUUCUCCUUGAGCUGUUAAAGUGAACGCGGUUUGUUCUCGUACACCCGCUCCUUCAGAUAUCCCCACGGGAAGUAAUCAGGAGCUGAAAGGUCGGGUGAAUGUGGCGGCCAAUUAAUCUGAGAAAUUAUCCGCUCGCCAAACAGUUGUCUCAGUUUUCAAAUAAAAAAUUGCACUAUUUUUACUUGAUGUUUCUUCAUGAAAUUGACCCCGAUGAAUCUCCCAAGACUCAGUUAUAAUAUGUAUUUGCAACAAAAACAUUGAACUAUUUUCCAGUCAAAUCCUACUCAGACGUUUGACCCACCCUGUAUUUUACCUUCCAUCUUGGUAAUUGGAUGCAGACACAUUGGGUCUUGUUGUUUAGUUCUUUCUAUAAUUUAUUUUGUUUUAAGAGCGCACAUGUAUGCUUUGUUUACUCAUUGUACACCGCUGCAGAAUAGGUCGGUGCUUUACAAAUAACAAGCAUCUCUUCAAUCUCCUUACUUUGGCUCUGUCAGCGAGCUCCAAUCUACGAAAAUUUAAUUAUUAUUAGGAGUCCACGCAGCUUAAAAAACCUGGGAGUCUAAGGCAGAUUUAAUGAGGCCAGCGAUUUCGUAGGUUAAAUCCUACUGGCCACAUUGUAAAACGUGUCGCUGAUUGCCGUUAGUCAUUAGUGGCGGUAAUCCUUAUACUAAUGUAAGGUACAUGUAAUUAGAGACAAGGAGGGGAAGAUAAACACUUCGGCAUUUUAAAAUGUAACUAUUAGGAAAAUAAACCACAUCUAAUUAGACAUCGGGGGGAAUUUGAAAGGUAAGAACUAAACAAGGUUUUGGUUUUUUUGCCACCAGGGCUUUGGAGCAAUUAAAAGAAUGGGCACUGCCACUUCUUCUUAAAGGUACAGUAACAGAAAUUCCAUUAGCGCCAAACAAAUCACUGUGACACCAUGUGGCUUGUCGGUUUAACUGUACCAUCCAUUGAAUCAGACAAAGUACUCAUUAAUAAUAGUAAUAAGUCCAAUCGGGUCUCCUGAUGCAUACCUGUGCUAACCCUACCAAUUAAAUGGCAGCGGUCCGUAAUUUGUGAACCUGUCUGGUGUACGUUCCAUUGCCCAACCACAGUGCAAUAAACAUGUAAAGUUACAUCCCUUUAAACCUGUAAUUUAAAAUGGCUUCAACGGUAAAAACCCACUUAGAAAGACCAUCAAAGUAAUAAACUUUCUUUUCAUCUUACUAGCCAGAGCAAAUAAUGCUUGGACCUUCGUUAAGUUUUUAAUUAGCUAAGUGCUUUGUGUUUUAACUAAUACACAUAAUAAACACACACACACGCAGGUACACACACGCACACAAACAUCCACGCAGCGCCCCUGCCCAAAAUAGCAUGGCCCACCUGACUAAUCAUGGGCUGCUGGCUGCUAAUCUUUACGUGUGCCGAGAGGAUCCCCCAUUUUGCUUACGAUGGGUUUCACAGAUCCACAGAAGCCUAUGAUCAGGAGCCACAUUUAUAAAGGCAUUGUGCAUUGUUAACCAAAUUCAUUAGUGAAUGUUCAUUUAAAGUGGCAGAGAUUUCAAAGCAGUGAUAAUGUGCUUGUUUUUACAGGCCACACAUCCGUCAUCAGAGUGAGAUGUUUUAGCGGUAUGGAUGGCAGAUACAGGGUUAAUGAGACUACAGUGUUUGGGGAUAAUAUAUAUAUAUAUAUAUAUAUUACUGUCUAAUACAGGGGCACCAAAUCCACUCUUAAAAAUUACAUGUACCAACACAAAAACAGUCCCACCAUUCACUAUCAGAGUGCACACCGACUGCCUUACACACUAUUCAAAGCUUUCAGAACGGUGUUAGAACAAACAAAUGAAAAGAUAAAAAAAACCAGAAAUAAAUAGACUUUCAGGUCAAAGAAGUAGGAAAUACAGAGCCUCAACAAUCUUCUCCUAUUUAAUCACGGUGGUGGUCAGUGGUGGGUUUCUAUUAUAAGACAAUGAUACGGGACAGCACAUGCUCAAAGUACCACCAGGAGUGCCGCCAGUCCAGAGAAGACUCAGCCCAACUGACCAGCACAAUGACGAUGAAGGACAUGAAGAUGGUUCAGGCUGAUUUAUUUAGAAAUUAUCACACACCGAUUCGGCUUUUGAAGGACAAAGCUUGAGGAAAGCCCCUUUUGGAGCCACAAUGUUCUGUCUGAAUAAAUUUGCCCAAACCAUCUUUAUGUGCCGGGUCUUUGGUGUUCAUUGUGCGGCAUGGUUCCUAUAGGCUGUGGAGACAUCACAAGUCAUCCGAUAGGAAGGAGAAAUAUCUGCCGCUCUGUGUCUCCUGAAUGCUGACUCUCACUGAUAUGGGGAAUGAAAUAAAUGAAUGUUCCUUUAAAGCUAGCUCACCCAGGAUGACAAGGAAACCAUAAACACUGUGAUUAAAGAACAAGGUGGGGACAGGAAGAUGGAGUAAGGAAGUAAAGAGAAAUGUAAAGAAUGAAAAGAGUUAAUAGAAUGAACAAAGAAAGCAUUACACAAGCCAAGAAAGGAAGAGUGGGUGAGGGGGCAGAUAGGAGUGAUAGGUAAGAUGAAGAGGGAAGUGUGAACAUUAUGCACCCAGACCAUAUGGCUAUAGCAAGCAUGCGUUCUAACGAGCUGAGAGAGGAUUGUGGGUAAUACACCAGCUCAUUAUCAGUUCUGACACCCAAGACGAUACGCACAGCUGGGACUGUUCGAUAUGGAAAUCAGACACUGGGUCCAGCCUUACUGAGCUCAGAAGAUUUGGGAAAAGACAGAGAAAUCGGCAGAGUUUGAAAGGACAGUUCUGGAACAAAGAGGGAUUUCUGGAUGUCUUUGUGUGAAGGUUUAUGCCAUCAAUACAUUAUAAUGCCUUUCAUGUUGAAAUGUUUUUGCAUACAGAGAAUACACUAAAAUAGUGAGUGAGAAUGAAGAAUAACGCAAACAACUCUCUGGUGACUUGAUCCAUAACAGAGCUGCAACAACGGGCCAAACACAAAGACUUAACGAAAGAUGAUUUCACUACCAGCAGUGAAUUCCCAUUACAAAUAAAGAGUUAAAAUUCACAGCUCUGAGUAGUCAUGCUGUCACAAUCAAUAGAUCUCUCAAAAGUCAACUGAAUGUGCUUUUUUUUUUGUUUAGAAAAGGGACAUAAACAGGACUAGAGCAGUUAAUAAGGAGGUAAGGAGGUUACAAAUAAAAGCUUGGAGACAGGGGGAGAGAUUUAGCAGAUUUUCUUCACUUUUAACUUGAGGGUAAAGUGGAAAAUCAGUUUAGGAUUUGUCGAAGGUUAAAGAAUUCUUUUUGAUUCUACGGAUAUGUUGGGAGCGAGGAAGGGAUGCAACAGAAAGACCAGGAGAGAUAGAAUGAGAUAUUAUACAAUGAAUGAUAAGAAGAGAUUAAGGGUACAAUUAUAAUUGAGGAUGAGAAAAAAUACUAAGUGCUUAUGAAUGGGGGAAUAUCGCUGUCACAUUAAGGAAUGUGCACACAUAUAUCCCAAACUCACAGCCUCACACACCCUACAUUUAUUUACAUACAAACUGGAAAAUAAUACACCUUGUAACUGGAAUCAAAACCAAACUGAAUUUCUCAACUUGAUUCACCCAUGACUGCGUUAAAUACGAUUCGGUUACACAGUGACACAGAUUGGGGACGAAGCUUUGUUCCAGCUCUCUCUGGACCCCAGUCUGUUUCAAACGCACAUUGGGGGGUAGGGGCAGAUGCUUCACAAAGAGCCCCCAUUUCUCCAUCAGUUGAAAUCUGGAAUCUGGUUUGAAAAGUCAACGUUGGUGAUCCAGUUUGAGCCUGGGGAAUAAAUAAGACGGGGACACUGUGUACCUCAAAGUAUCGUCACACUCACAUAGCUGGAACCAUAGAGCUACUUUGAGCUCUGCCGGUUAGUACGUGGUUUAGGAGCGGAGUCUUGCAAGGGCUAAAGCAGAGGAUUCUGGGACUGAGCAGGACCGGGGGGGGUGAUGCAGUGAGAAUCUCUUUGUCCGUAUAGCUUGAUGGUCAGUCUGUCUAAGUCAGAGUGAUGUAGGCAGACGCUUUCUCCUUAAGCUGUCUCAGGCACAGAUGACAACUCCAACUACCU
Molecule: non-coding RNA, 6337 nt
Organism: Pelobates cultripes (western spadefoot toad)
Lineage: Eukaryota; Metazoa; Chordata; Amphibia; Anura; Pelobatidae
Source: the annotation of a GenBank genome assembly